UGCGCAGGCGGUUUUGUAAGUCAGAUGUGAAAUCCCCGAGCUCCACUUGGGAACUGCGUUUGAAACUAUUAAGCUAGAAUAUGUCAGAGGGGGGUAGAAUUCCACGUGUAGCAGUGAAAUGCGUAGAGAUGUGGAGGAAUACCAAUGGCGAAGGCAGCCCCCUGGGAUAAUAUUGACGCUCAUGCACGAAAGCGUGGGGAGCAAACAGGAUUAGAUACCCUAGUA
This 225-nucleotide ribosomal RNA is filed under the name uncultured Methylophilus sp. RNAcentral describes it as "partial 16S ribosomal RNA". It matches the Rfam family "Bacterial small subunit ribosomal RNA", at positions 568 to 792 of the family's 1533-position model. The record is from RNAcentral. Lineage: Bacteria; Pseudomonadati; Pseudomonadota; Betaproteobacteria; Nitrosomonadales; Methylophilaceae.